CUCUGUGGGAUCAGUGGCGAACGGGUGAGUAACACGUGAGCAACCUACCCCUGACUCUGGGAUAAGCGCUGGAAACGGCGUCUAAUACUGGAUACGAGUGGCGACCGCAUGGUCAGCUACUGGAAAGAUUUAUUGGUUGGGGAUGGGCUCGCGGCCUAUCAGCUUGUUGGUGAGGUAAUGGCUCACCAAGGCGUCGACGGGUAGCCGGCCUGAGAGGGUGACCGGCCACACUGGGACUGAGACACGGCCCAGACUCCUACGGGAGGCAGCAGUGGGGAAUAUUGCACAAUGGGCGCAAGCCUGAUGCAGCAACGCCGCGUGAGGGAUGACGGCCUUCGGGUUGUAAACCUCUUUUAGCAGGGAAGAAGCGAAAGUGACGGUACCUGCAGAAAAAGCGCCGGCUAACUACGUGCCAGCAGCCGCGGUAAUACGUAGGGCGCAAGCGUUAUCCGGAAUUAUUGGGCGUAAAGAGCUCGUAGGCGGUUUGUCGCGUCUGCUGUGAAAUCCGGAGGCUCAACCUCCGGCCUGCAGUGGGUACGGGCAGACUAGAGUGCGGUAGGGGAGAUUGGAAUUCCUGGUGUAGCGGUGGAAUGCGCAGAUAUCAGGAGGAACACCGAUGGCGAACGCAGAUCUCUGGGCCGUAACUGACGCUGAGGAGCGAAAGGGUGGGGAGCAAACAGGCUUAGAUACCCUGGUAGUCCACCCCGUAAACGUUGGGAACUAGUUGUGGGGUCCAUUCCACGGAUUCCGUGACGCAGCUAACGCAUUAAGUUCCCCGCCUGGGGAGUACGGCCGCAAGGCUAAAACUCAAAGGAAUUGACGGGGACCCGCACAAGCGGCGGAGCAUGCGGAUUAAUUCGAUGCAACGCGAAGAACCUUACCAAGGCUUGACAUAUACGAGAACGGGCC
Molecule: ribosomal RNA, 909 nt
Filed under: Microbacterium phyllosphaerae
Lineage: Bacteria; Bacillati; Actinomycetota; Actinomycetes; Micrococcales; Microbacteriaceae
Description: bacterial SSU rRNA
Rfam family: Bacterial small subunit ribosomal RNA
Source: RNAcentral